GUCUUUAUGUAACAUUUAUAAAGUCUGGCCUGCCCACUGAAUAAUUUAAAGGGCCGCGGUAUCUUGACCGUGCAAAGGUAGCAUAGUCAUUUGUCUUUUAAUUGGAGGCUUGUAUGAAUGGUCGCACAAGAAAUAAUUUGUCUUAACUAAAUUUAUUGAAUUUAACUUUUAAGUAAAAAGGCUUAAAUAAAUUAAAGUGACGAUAAGACCCUAUAAAACUUUAUAAUUUAUAUUAAAAAAAUAUAUUAGUUAUUUAAAAUUUUUUUAGUGGAUUUUAUUUUAUUGGGGCGAUAAAAAUAAAAAUAGUAACUGUUUUUAAAAUUUAAAUGAUAAUUGUCAGUUUUAUUAAAUGAUCCUUUAUUAAAGAUUAUAAGAUUAAGUUACUUUAGGGAUAACAGCGUAAUUUUCUUUGAGAGCUCUUAUCUACAAGAAAGAUUGCGACCUCGAUGUUGAAUUAAAAUUUCUUUAAGGUGUAGCAGCUUUAAUAGAAGGUCUGUUCGACCUUUAAAUUUUU
RNAcentral lists this ribosomal RNA (514 nucleotides) under Thysanoessa inermis. RNAcentral's name for it is "partial 16S ribosomal RNA". It matches the Rfam family "Bacterial large subunit ribosomal RNA", at positions 1819 to 2597 of the family's 2925-position model. Lineage: Eukaryota; Metazoa; Arthropoda; Malacostraca; Euphausiacea; Euphausiidae. The record is from RNAcentral.